Molecule: ribosomal RNA, 280 nt
Filed under: uncultured bacterium
Lineage: Bacteria
Description: partial 16S ribosomal RNA
Rfam family: Bacterial small subunit ribosomal RNA
Source: RNAcentral
UGCCAGCAGCCGCGGUAAUACGUAGGGGGCGAGCGUUGUCCGGAUUUAUUGGGCGUAAAGAGCUCGUAGGCGGCUCAGCAAGUCGGCCGUGAAAGCCUGAGGCUCAACCUCAGGACGCCGGUCGAAACUGCUGUGGCUAGGGUCCGGUAGAGGAGAGUGGAAUUCCCGGUGUAGCGGUGAAAUGCGCAGAUAUCGGGAGGAACACCAGUAGCGAAGGCGGCUCUCUGGGCCGGUACCGACGCUGAGGAGCGAAAGCGUGGGGAGCGAACAGGAUUAGAUA